UGCAAGUCGAACGGUAACAGGAAACAGCUUGCUGUUUCGCUGACGAGUGGCGGACGGGUGAGUAAUGUCUGGGAAACUGCCUGAUGGAGGGGGAUAACUACUGGAAACGGUAGCUAAUACCGCAUAACGUCGCAAGACCAAAGAGGGGGACCUUCGGGCCUCUUGCCAUCGGAUGUGCCCAGAUGGGAUUAGCUUGUUGGUGGGGUAACGGCUCACCAAGGCGACGAUCCCUAGCUGGUCUGAGAGGAUGACCAGCCACACUGGAACUGAGACACGGUCC
This 280-nucleotide ribosomal RNA is filed under the name Escherichia coli. RNAcentral describes it as "partial 16S ribosomal RNA". It matches the Rfam family "Bacterial small subunit ribosomal RNA", at positions 56 to 332 of the family's 1533-position model. Lineage: Bacteria; Pseudomonadati; Pseudomonadota; Gammaproteobacteria; Enterobacterales; Enterobacteriaceae. The record is from RNAcentral.